This 471-nucleotide long non-coding RNA is filed under the name Apteryx rowi (Okarito brown kiwi). Its description in RNAcentral is "lncRNA (ENSARWG00000007204.1)". The record is from RNAcentral. Lineage: Eukaryota; Metazoa; Chordata; Aves; Apterygiformes; Apterygidae.
GCGGGGCGAACCGAACCUCCUCGCGCCGGCUGAUGGCGGCGGCGGGCGCGUGCGGAGGGCCUUGCUYAUGGCGCAGUAGUUGCUGGCGAGGCGAAGGAGGACAGUGGUGCACAUAAGCACUGUCUUACAACCUUUAUACCCUCUUGUCUCAAACUCAAAUGUGGGAUGCUGAGGGGUUCAGAAUCGUGUAGAAGGGAUCGGCAGAUCAUAUCAGCCCAGCUGUGAGGAUGGCUUCUGAAUAUGACUCUAAAAUGUUUGUACUGGUGUAAAAAUGAAUAAUUCACUGAGCUGUGAAUUACAGAAGGUUUUAAGACUCUGGAUCUUAGGCAAAAUGCAGAAAAUCUUAUAAUACCUUUUACAGAGUUUUUCAUCUGUUCAUCUUGAAUCAUUUUGUCCAGGGAGGUAAGUAUCAUGUCUGUCUCUCUCUUUUUUUUUUUUUUUUGGUGGUGGGGAGGGGGAGUGGGGAAACAG